GAAAUAAAAUCAUAACUCCCCUUAUAAAAGGAGCCUGACAGCAUGGCUAGCACCACAAUGGGCGUAAAACUC
This is a non-coding RNA of Yersinia mollaretii ATCC 43969, 72 nucleotides long. The record is from Rfam. Lineage: Bacteria; Pseudomonadati; Pseudomonadota; Gammaproteobacteria; Enterobacterales; Yersiniaceae.